RNAcentral lists this unclassified non-coding RNA (337 nucleotides) under soil metagenome. RNAcentral describes it as "partial contains 5.8S ribosomal RNA, internal transcribed spacer 2, and large subunit ribosomal RNA". The stretch from base 1 to 120 matches the Rfam family "5.8S ribosomal RNA", at positions 35 to 154 of the family's 154-position model. The record is from RNAcentral.
GAUGAAGAACGUAGCGAAAUGCGAUAAGUAAUGUGAAUUGCAGAAUUCAGUGAAUCAUCGAAUCUUUGAACGCACAUUGCGCCCGCCAGUAUUCUGGCGGGCAUGCCUGUUCGAGCGUCAUUUCAACCAUCAAGCCCCCGGCUUGUGUUGGGGACCUGCGGCUGCCCGCAGGCCCUGAAAACCAGUGGCGGGCUCGCUGUCACUCCGAGCGUAGUAGCAUAUAUCUCGCUCAGGGCGUGCUGCGGGUUCCGGCCGUUAAAAGCCUUUUUUUACCCAAGGUUGACCUCGGAUCAGGUAGGAAGACCCGCUGAACUUAAGCAUAUCAAUAAGCGGAGGA